RNAcentral lists this ribosomal RNA (497 nucleotides) under uncultured bacterium. RNAcentral describes it as "bacterial SSU rRNA". It matches the Rfam family "Bacterial small subunit ribosomal RNA", at positions 8 to 507 of the family's 1533-position model. The record is from RNAcentral.
AGAGUUUGAUCCUGGCUCAGGAUGAACGCUAGCGGGAGGCCUAACACAUGCAAGCCGAGCGGUAUAGAAUCUUCGGAUUUUAGAGAGCGGCGUACGGGUGCGGAACACGUGUGCAACCUACCUUUAUCUGGAGGAUAGCCUUUCGAAAGGAAGAUUAAUACUCCAUAAUAUAUUGAUUGGCAUCAAUUAAUAUUGAAAGCUCAGGCGGAUAGAGAUGGGCACGCGCAAGAUUAGUUAGUUGGUGAGGUAACGGCUCACCAAGACGAUGAUCUUUAGGGGGCCUGAGAGGGUGAUCCCCACACUGGUACUGAGACACGGACCAGACUCCUACGGGAGGCAGCAGUGAGGAAUAUUGGACAAUGGGUGCAAGCCUGAUCCAGCCAUCCCGCGUGAAGGACGACUGCCUAUGGGUUGUAAACUUCUUUUGUAUAGGGAUAAACCUCUCCUCGUGAGGAGAGCUGAAGGUACUAUACGAAUAAGCACCGGCUAACUCCGUG